This 229-nucleotide unclassified non-coding RNA is filed under the name Hevea brasiliensis (rubber tree). Lineage: Eukaryota; Viridiplantae; Streptophyta; Magnoliopsida; Malpighiales; Euphorbiaceae. The record is from RNAcentral.
UAAAAAAAUAAAAAAUUACCGAUGCAAGAUAAACUAAAACUAAAACUAAAAUAAACGGAUACAAAUCUAUUCUUAUGGAUGGAUAUGGUACCUAAUUACAAAUCAAUAAUGGAGUGAGAUGGACAAAGGAGCAGGAAGUGGUGAACCUUAAUGAAUCGAUGCCCUUGCUUUUGAAAUCCCAAAUGAUUUAACAGAUAGUUAAAAAUAUAAAAAGGCCCUUCAUGUGAAA